Molecule: non-coding RNA, 288 nt
Organism: Salvelinus sp. IW2-2015
Lineage: Eukaryota; Metazoa; Chordata; Actinopteri; Salmoniformes; Salmonidae
Source: RefSeq, a predicted model, not a curated record
GGGAAAGGGGAUGUGCCUGACAAACUGUUGGAUCAACUGAAUCAUCUGAGAGUUCUGGUCGACAGCCUGAUGGGUGACAGAGCCAAGAGCUCGAAGCUGAUGAAUGACGUUCAGGGAGCCAUCAUGCAGCUGCAGGCUGAGUGUGAGAAGCUCCACGGCACAGCCAACCACCUGAUUGAGGAGCACAGCCAGAAACAGGUCCACAUCGACCAUCUGUACAAGUCCAUGGAAGAACUGGACGAGAAGAAAGCUGACAAAGAGCUUGUGGAGAUGGAGAUUGAAAUCGUG